This 494-nucleotide long non-coding RNA is filed under the name Gallus gallus (chicken). Its description in RNAcentral is "long non-coding RNA NONGGAT011847". Lineage: Eukaryota; Metazoa; Chordata; Aves; Galliformes; Phasianidae. The record is from RNAcentral.
UCUUCUCUUCCAGUUAUUAACUUUGGAACCUGACUCCAUGGUCACUACAGAAUCGUUGGCUGUGUGUCCGCUCUGGCUGGAACACCUAGUAACUGCAUAACAAGAAGUUACCUGUGACACCCUUUAGACAUCUCCUGGAUGGGCUGUGUUUGUACUUGUUAAAAGUUGCAAUGAGGAUGUGGGUGUAUGACAGAUACUUCCAAAAAUUGUCUAUGAUAGCUAAUCUGUUCUCUCCUGUAGCAGAUUCCCACCACAGUGUCAUACUUGUGACCUCUCCUUUGGCCUGACUUGUGAGCUCUUUGGCCUGAGCCCUGCACAUCUAAGCUGCUCUUUCCCACAGGGAAUGGUCCACGUCUCCUCUGCCAUUCUCCCAGGAAGGGCUCAUCUCCCUCUGUCCAUCUGUUGCAGCACUCCAACAGGGUGAGCUGUCCCACCACAGAGUGCUUUCAUGAAAAUAGCUUGUUGCAUGCGCUCUUGUUUGAACACGUAAGCCU